ACCGUCCAGGUGUCAAAUUUCUAUUGGGUGAUUUUUUAUAUAUUGAAACAGCUUUUUAAUAAAGUGACGGGGGUAGAAGUGGAAUAAUGAAACUUUGAAUAUCAUUUUGGAAUUGGCGGUUUCAUUUUCGUUUCACUUUUACUGAGAACAGUUUCGCCUUCUCUCCAACAUCUUUGUUCUUCGUUUGCCACCAUCUCCAUUGUUGCGUUCCUUUCGUUUUAUCUCAACCAGGGAAAGGCGAUCAUUGAGAAGGUAAGCCCGUAGUGUGGGUAUGUCGUUUUUGGUUUGGUUGGGCUUCGUGUUUGUUUCGUCAUUUGCUGCCAUUGUCGCGUUUUGGUGGUUUGGGUUUUUGUGUAUCAUUUCGCUUCUCAUUAUAAUGUUGUUGUUUAGGUGUUAAUUUUAUUUUUUUAAACCCUAACCAAAUAUUGAUAUUUGGGCUCUUUGGUGUUUUGAUUUUGUGUUCAGUUGGAAUGGCUUCCGGAAUCCCAAAGGUAACAUAAAGUUUCUUACUUUUAUUUAGUUGGGUAAUUUGUUGUUAAUAUUAACAAUGUUUUCUUUAUGUCUUGUAGUGGAGGGUUCGUACUUCUUUGAAUUCAUCUUAUAUUAUUGGCNN
RNAcentral lists this long non-coding RNA (613 nucleotides) under Vigna radiata. RNAcentral's name for it is "long non-coding RNA (VRAD_LNC008825)". The record is from RNAcentral. Lineage: Eukaryota; Viridiplantae; Streptophyta; Magnoliopsida; Fabales; Fabaceae.